CCUACGGGUGGCAGCAGUGAGGAAUAUUGGGCAAUGGACGAGAGUCUGAACCAGCCAAGUAGCGUGAAGGAUGACUGCCCUAGGGGUUGUACACUUCUUUUAUAUGGGAAUGAAAUGUUCCACGUGUGGGAUUUUGUAUGUACCAUAUGAAUAAGGAUCGGCUAACUCCGUGCCAGCAGCCGCGGUAAUACGGAGGAUCCGAGCGUUACCCGGAUUUCUUGGGGUUAAAGGGAGCGUAAGUUGAUUGUUAAGUCAGUUGUGAAAGUUUGUGGCACAACCGUAAAAUUGCAGUUGAAACUGGCAGUCUUGAGUACAGUAGAGGUAGGCGGAAUGCGUGGUGUAGCGGUGAAAUGCUUAGAUAUCACGAAGAACUCCGAGUGCGAAGGCAGCUCACUGGACUGCAACUGACACUGAGGCUCGAAAGUGUGGGUAUCAAACAGGAUUAGAUACCCGAGUAGUC
RNAcentral lists this ribosomal RNA (460 nucleotides) under uncultured bacterium. RNAcentral's name for it is "partial 16S ribosomal RNA". It matches the Rfam family "Bacterial small subunit ribosomal RNA", at positions 338 to 795 of the family's 1533-position model. The record is from RNAcentral.